CAGUCGCGUUCUCUGGGAUUCAGCCUUGCUUCUUGCUUGGUGCAUUUCCUAGUCUACGGGCCAGCAUGUAUCUUGAGCGGGGAAAAGGGUUUGGGGAAUGUGGCACCUCCGGGUGUGUUAUAGCCUCUUGUCGUACACGGUGCUUGGGAUUGAGGACUGCAGCACGCCUUUUGGUCGGGGUUCUCCCACGCCACGUGCUUAGGAUGCUGGCGUAAUGGCUUUAAACGACCCGUCUUGAAACACGGACCAGGGAGUCUAACAUAUAUGCGAGUGUU
This 275-nucleotide ribosomal RNA is filed under the name Diversispora epigaea. The record is from RNAcentral. Lineage: Eukaryota; Fungi; Glomeromycota; Glomeromycetes; Diversisporales; Diversisporaceae.